GACGGGGGAUGCAAGUGUUAUCCGGAAUCACUGGGCAUAAAGAGUCUGUAGGUGGUUUAAUAAGUCAACUGUUAAAUCUUGAGGCUCAACCUCAAAAUCUCAGUCGAAACUAUUAGACUAGAGUAUAGUAGGGGUAAAGGGAAUUUCCAGUGGAGCGGUGAAAUGCGUAGAGAUUGGAAAGAACACCGAUGGCGAAGGCACUUUACUGGGCUAUUACUAACACUCAGAGACGAAAGCUAGGGUAGCAAAUGGG
This 253-nucleotide ribosomal RNA is filed under the name uncultured bacterium. Its description in RNAcentral is "partial 16S ribosomal RNA". It matches the Rfam family "Bacterial small subunit ribosomal RNA", at positions 524 to 776 of the family's 1533-position model. The record is from RNAcentral.